This is a long non-coding RNA of Mytilus californianus (California mussel), 1004 nucleotides long. RefSeq lists it as uncharacterized. The transcript is spliced from 2 exons. Lineage: Eukaryota; Metazoa; Mollusca; Bivalvia; Mytilida; Mytilidae. The record is from RefSeq and is a predicted model, not a curated record.
UGGAAUGACGAAGAGCAUUCAACCGUUCAUAUUGAAUUUAAAAUACGCAUAAAGCAUAACACCUAUAAGUUAGAUCAUCGGACGGAUAUAAAGUUAUCUCAUCAUAAAUUCAAUUGUUACGGGCUGAAGUCAACAAUUACAUGUAUGGUACAAUAGCUGCAAGUUUCAAUAAUUUAGAGGUAAAUUCAUCACCAUGUCAAAUCAGCGCGCUGAUCAUCACCAUGACUCACGACAAAUGGUUCCACAAUCGGCUCGAAGUAAAUCAUCGUCAAAUAGUUCAACACAUAAAGGUUUCACCUUUGACCCAAUGAAAAACAUGCAUUUGUGGACAAUGUGGAGAAUAGGAAACACAGAAAAAAUUGUGAAUUUCACAAAACACAGAGAAUCUGAAGUUUAUUUACAAAACGAAUUUCAACACGGAAUCUUUUCUGGAGUACCGUAUGGAAGUCCUACUUUACUUGUACCACCUCUUGCCAGCAAUAUAUCCGUUACCGAAGCAACAAAACGGAAAGCAACUGAGAUGAUGCAUUCAAAUACAAAUGAAGGAGGGAGUGAAUUGAAAGCAGGACAAUUUAUUUAUUUUGGACUACCACGAGUUGCUCUGAAAAAUGGUAAAUCUCAAAUGUCACCGUAAUUCGAUUUUGAACGAAACAGAUUAAUAUGUUACCUUCAAAUUGUUAUUUUAAAUGAUGCAAAUUGUUACUUAAAAUGACGCAUAUUGUUACUUUUUAAUGAUGAAAAUUGUAAUUACUAUAUUUUGUGUUACUCACAGAUUAAACUGUAAUUAUUAUCAUUUGUUGCAUGAAAUCGUCAUUCUUAAUCCUUAUACAUAAUACAUGGUAUAUUAACUUCUUUCUACAUAGAUAUAAAAAUGUAUUAGAAAUAUAUAAUAACUUAUAUCAUAUCUUUUAUCUUGGUAAAAAUGCUGAAAUGGAUAAGUGUUUUUGUUUCAUUUCUUUUGAUCUCAUUUCAUCGAGUUUGUAAUAAAGACAUUGCUCAUACGA